RNAcentral lists this ribosomal RNA (793 nucleotides) under uncultured Alphaproteobacteria bacterium. Its description in RNAcentral is "bacterial SSU rRNA". It matches the Rfam family "Bacterial small subunit ribosomal RNA", at positions 33 to 874 of the family's 1533-position model. The record is from RNAcentral. Lineage: Bacteria; Pseudomonadati; Pseudomonadota; Alphaproteobacteria.
ACGCUGGCGGCAUGCCUCAUACAUGCAAGUCGAACGAGGUCUUCGGACCUAGUGGCGCACGGGUGAGUAACAUGUGGGAAUCUACCUGAAGGUUCGGAAUAACUGCGGGAAACUGUAGCUAAUACCGGAUGUGUCUGAAAAGAGAAAGAUUUAUCGCCUUCAGAUGAGCCCGCACUAGAUUAGCUAGUUGGUGAGGUAAUUGCUCCACCAAGGCUCCGAUCUAUAGCUGAUUUGAGAGGAUGAUCAGCCACACUGGGACUGAGACACGGCCCAGACUCCUACGGGAGGCAGCAGUAGGGAAUAUUGGACAAUGGGGGAAACCCUGAUCCAGCAAUGCCGCGUGAGUGAAGAAGGCCUUCGGGUUGUAAAGCUCUUUCAUCAAUGAUGAUAAUGACAUUAGUUGAAGAAGAAGCCCCGGCUAACUUCGUGCCAGCAGCCGCGGUAAUACGAAGGGGGCUAGCGUUGUUCGGAAUCACUGGGCGUAAAGCGUAUGUAGGCGGAUCAAAAAGUUAGAUGUGAAAUCCCUGGGCUCAACCCAGGAACUGCAUUUAAAACUAGUGAUCUAGAAUUUGGUAGGGGUUAGUAGAAUUUCCAGUGUAGAGGUGAAAUUCGUAGAUAUUGGAAAGAAUACCAGUGGCGAAGGCGACUGACUGGGCCAUUUUUGACGCUGAGAUACGAAAGCGUGGGUAGCAAACAGGAUUAGAUACCCUGGUAGUCCACGCAGUAAACGAUGAGUGCUAGUCGCUGGGACAGUAGUUUCAGUGUCGAAGCUAACGCAUUAAGCACUCCGCCU